GCCGAAGUGGUGGAACUUGGUAGACACGCACGGUUGAGGGCCGUGUGGCGAAAGCUAUGCGGGUUCAAAUCCCGCCUUCGGCACCA
This 86-nucleotide transfer RNA is filed under the name bacterium BMS3Abin06. RNAcentral's name for it is "tRNA-Leu". It matches the Rfam family "tRNA". From Rfam's summary of the family: Transfer RNA (tRNA) molecules are approximately 80 nucleotides in length. Their secondary structure includes four short double-helical elements and three loops (D, anti-codon, and T loops). RNAcentral also lists the same sequence under 2 other names. The record is from RNAcentral.